Molecule: long non-coding RNA, 356 nt
Filed under: Medicago truncatula (barrel medic)
Lineage: Eukaryota; Viridiplantae; Streptophyta; Magnoliopsida; Fabales; Fabaceae
Description: long non-coding RNA (MTRU_LNC003935)
Source: RNAcentral
UCGAAAAGAGGAUAUUUCAUUCAAUGAUAGCAUAAAAGCUAGUAAUUACACCAUGUGUAGAAAACUACCCACUAUUGGGGUAAAGUACAGAGUUACUGCAAAAUCUAACAAAUACAUCUCUUAAGCACAUGAUUUGCUCCUGACUUAUACAUCUAACAUAUCAUGGUUACAAAGCCUUCGCUAAGAUCCACCAGAGGGCAGCAAAGACCCAGCACAGUACCACAUCCUAAACAGAAAAUUGAAUUAAAGAACAACAAACCAGAACACCACUAGAAGCUAAGAAGAUACAACACCAACACAAAGUGAAAGUCUUAGAAUCAAGCCUUGGACUAGCAUCUAACUUUGAACCUGCACAA